RNAcentral lists this microRNA precursor (89 nucleotides) under Canis lupus familiaris (dog). Its description in RNAcentral is "mir-8799 microRNA precursor family". It matches the Rfam family "mir-8799 microRNA precursor family". The record is from Rfam by way of RNAcentral. Lineage: Eukaryota; Metazoa; Chordata; Mammalia; Carnivora; Canidae. RNAcentral also lists the same sequence under 1 other name.
GGGAGUGCAGGAUCCUGGGCUGUGUCCCCCGGCGCCCUGGGACCCAGGGCCUGUGCUGCUGGAAUUGUGCUCCCGGGGCUGUGGCUCCC